This 1186-nucleotide ribosomal RNA is filed under the name uncultured bacterium. RNAcentral's name for it is "partial 16S ribosomal RNA". It matches the Rfam family "Bacterial small subunit ribosomal RNA", at positions 140 to 1353 of the family's 1533-position model. The record is from RNAcentral.
GGGAUAACAGUUAGAAAUGGCUGCUAAUACCGCAUAAGCACACAGCUUCGCAUGGAGCAGUGUGAAAAACUCCGGUGGUAUGAGAUGGACCCGCGUCUGAUUAGCUAGUUGGUAAGGUAACGGCUUACCAAGGCGACGAUCAGUAGCCGACCUGAGAGGGUGACCGGCCACAUUGGGACUGAGACACGGCCCAAACUCCUACGGGAGGCAGCAGUGGGGAAUAUUGCACAAUGGGGGAAACCCUGAUGCAGCGACGCCGAGUGAGUGAAGAAGUAUCUCGGUAUGUAAAGCUCUAUCAGCAGGGAAGAAAAUGACGGUACCUGACUAAGAAGCCCCGGCUAACUACGUGCCAGCAGCCGCGGUAAUACGUAGGGGGCAAGCGUUAUCCGGAUUUACUGGGUGUAAAGGGAGCGUAGACGGCGGAGCAAGUCUGAAGUGAAAGCCCGGGGCUCAACCCCGGGACUGCUUUGGAAACUGUUCUGCUAGAGUGCUGGAGGGGUAAGUGGAAUUCCUNGUGUNGCGGUGNNNUGCGUNGNUNUUNGGAGGNNCCCCCGUGGCGNNGGCGGCUUNCUGGNCCGUNNCUGNCGUUGNGGCUCGNNNGCGUGGGGCGCCCCCAAAGGUCCUNCCNNNUNNUCCNCNCCNNNNNCGCCCAUUAAGGUGUGGAGGGCAAAGCCCUUGGGGCCGCCGCAAACGCAAUAAGCCUUCCCCCUGGGGAGUAGGUUCGCCAGAAUGAAAAUCAAAAGAAAUGACGGGGCCCCGCACCAGCGGGGGAGCAUUUGGUUUAUUUGAAGCAACGCGAAGAACCCUACCAAGUCUUGGCAUCCCCCCGACCGGACAGUAAUGUGUCCUUUCCUUCGGGACCGGGGAGACAGGUGGUGCAUGGUUGUCGUCAGCUCGUGUCGUGAGAUGUUGGGUUAAGUCCCGCAACGAGCGCAACCCUUAUCCUUAGUAGCCAGCAGUAAGAUGGGCACUCUAGGGAGACUGCCAGGGAUAACCUGGAGGAAGGUGGGGAUGACGUCAAAUCAACAUGCCCCUUAUGAUUUGGGCUACACACGUGCUACAAUGGCGUAAACAAAGAGAAGCGAGCCUGCGAGGGGGAGCGAAUCUCAAAAAUAACGUCCCAGUUCGGACUGUAGUCUGCAACCCGAAUACACGAAGCUGGAAUCGCUAGUAAUCGCGGAUCUGA